GCCUGAGGGUGGGAGGCGGGCAUCAGCCAGCAGCCCUGCCUCCACGGACGCCUCCCAGCUACCCUGGGGCCACACCAGGUGCUCAUAAGCACAGGCUCAGGGGCGGCUCCCGGUGUUGCAAGCCCAGGCCCAAGCGUCCUGGCUGUGUGACCCCUGCCAAGUGAAUGCCUCAGUUCCCCCAUCGACGGGAUCACAACAGUCUAUGUCUCUUUAUGGGCCUCCUGGGGGUGCUACGUGGUUACGGAACGCACAGGCCCACCAUCCAGGGCAGCAACAUCCGUGUGCCCCGCGCUAUGCGAUGUGCUCCAAGGACCUGUGUUCCAGUUUUCCAGACUGACCUGGUGACAGGGCCCUUACGGAACAAAGCCAGGCCAUCCUCCUUUCCGGCUCCCGCCCUCUCGAAUCCCCACGGCAAUUCACCAUCGUGCGCAUUUCACAGAGGCCAAAAGCGAGGCCCAGAAGGGUGAAAUGAAUCACCCAAAGGCGCCAGCAAAGCUAGGAUUUGAACCCAAAGCCAAACCCACUCCUGAAAACUGUCCUAAAGAACAAUUUUCAACGAGUUGUUAAAACCGAGGGCACUAGGAAAAAUAAUGCGGCCACUGGCUCCCGCCCUGGGCAAAACCACUGCCGUCCGAGUGACCAGAACUGGAAGUCCGGGCUCUAGAACUAUUCUGGCUAUAGACCUGCUUGUCUUUAACAUCUGGGGACGGAUCUGGCCCCUGCCGCCUGGAGGAAGCGAAGCAGCACUGCCAUGUCGGUGCAGGUGACGCACAGCAGACCUGCAAGGAAGGCCUGAGCAGCGAGGAUCCUCCGGAAACCCCGAGCCCUGCUCUGUGCCCAGGUCAGUGUGGCCUCACCUCCUUCGCUCACAGCCUGCACGGCUGCAUCCAAGAAGGGGGCGGGGCUGCCAUAUGGGUCCAGGUCGAUGACGUCAAACCGCUCCGAUGCCCUCUGGUGCUGGUACAUCAGCAUCCUGGGAGCGAGAAGGCCCCGGUCCUCAGCGCCCUGCGUUAGGGACCUGCUCUGUCCCCUACACGUGUCCUCUCAUUGGGUGUGAUGGUUUCGGCCUGCAUUUGGAGGCCAGCUGGCUAGGCUCGGACCCUGGCCUGGCCGUGUGCUAACUAACCACGUGACUUUUCUUCCUUGGGCCUCAGUGUACUCGUGUCUAACAACAGCAAUAAUAAUAGCCAAUGGUGACGUGACAUACAUAUGCCUGACAACUGUUUCAAGCCGUUUAUAGAUUAACUCAUCUAAUCAAAUAACCUUCCAGGCAAAUCUUACGGAAUGGAAUCAUUACUGUUUCCUUUGUAGGAUGACAUGAUACUCUAUGGAACACGCAAAAGAUUCCACAAGAAAACUGCUGGACUGAUCCACGGAUUCAGCAAAGUCGCAGGAUAUAAAAUCAAUGCACAGAAAUCAGUUGCAUUUCUAUACGCCCAUAGUGAAGCAACAGAGAGAGAAAUCAAGGAAUCGAUCCCAUCUACAACUGCACCAAAAACCACAGAAUAUCUAGGAGUGAACCUAACCAAAGAGGUGAAAAAGCUAUAUGCUGAAAGCUAAAGAAAACUUAUGAAAGAAACUGAAGACACAAAAAAAUGGAAAAAGAUUCCCUGCUCCUGGGUUGGAAGAACAACUAUUGUUAAAAUGUCGAUACUCCCCAAAGGAAUCUACAUAUUCAAUGCGAUGCCGAUCAAAAUGACACCAGCAUUCUUCACAGAGCUAGAACAAAAAACCCUAAAAUCUGAAUCAGAAAA
This is a long non-coding RNA of Felis catus (domestic cat), 1754 nucleotides long. RefSeq lists it as uncharacterized. The transcript is spliced from 3 exons. NCBI's taxonomy places the organism in Eukaryota, Metazoa, Chordata, Mammalia, Carnivora, Felidae. The record is from RefSeq and is a predicted model, not a curated record.